Molecule: transfer RNA, 67 nt
Filed under: Japananus hyalinus
Lineage: Eukaryota; Metazoa; Arthropoda; Insecta; Hemiptera; Cicadellidae
Description: tRNA-Pro
Source: RNAcentral
CAGUAAAUAUUUUUAUUUAAAAAUAUUAAUUUUGGGUAUUAAAGAUAUAGAAAUUCUAUUUUGCUGA